CCUACGAGAGGCUGCAGUGAGGAAUAUUGGUCAAUGGGCGCGAGCCUGAACCAGCCAAGUAGCGUGAAGGAUGACUGCACUACGGGUUGUAAACUUCUUUUAUAAAAGAAUAAAGUGAGGCACGUGUGCCUGUUUGUAUGUACUUUAUGAAUAAGGAUCGGCUAACUCCGUGCCAGCAGCCGCGGUAAUACGGAGGAUCCGAGCGUUAUCCGGAUUUAUUGGGUUUAAAGGGAGCGUAGAUGGGUUGUUAAGUCAGUUGUGAAAGUUUGCGGCUCAACCGUAAAAUUGCAAUUGAUACUGGCAGUCGUGAGUACAGUUGAGGUAGGCGGAAUUCGUGGUGUAGCGGUGAAAUGCUUAGAUAUCACGAAGAACUCCGAUUGCGAAGGCAGCUUACUAAACUGCCACUGACAUUGAUGCUCGAAAGUGUGGGUAUCAAACAGGAUUAGAUACCCGAGUAGGC
This 460-nucleotide ribosomal RNA is filed under the name uncultured bacterium. Its description in RNAcentral is "partial 16S ribosomal RNA". It matches the Rfam family "Bacterial small subunit ribosomal RNA", at positions 338 to 795 of the family's 1533-position model. The record is from RNAcentral.